Molecule: small nuclear RNA, 106 nt
Filed under: Dasypus novemcinctus (nine-banded armadillo)
Lineage: Eukaryota; Metazoa; Chordata; Mammalia; Cingulata; Dasypodidae
Source: RNAcentral
GUGCUCUCUCAGCAGCACACAUUCUAAACUUGGAAUGAUACAGAGAAGAUGAGCAUGGCCCCUGUGCAAGGAGAGCAUGCAAAUUUGUGAGGCAUUCCAUAGUUUG